RNAcentral lists this ribosomal RNA (754 nucleotides) under uncultured bacterium. RNAcentral describes it as "bacterial SSU rRNA". It matches the Rfam family "Bacterial small subunit ribosomal RNA", at positions 56 to 812 of the family's 1533-position model. The record is from RNAcentral.
UGCAGUCGAGCGGAGAUUAGAGAACGUAGCUUGCUACAAAUUUAAUCUUAGCGGCGGACGGGUGAGUAACGCGUGGGCAACCUGCCUUGUACAGGGGGAUAACACCGGGAAACCGGUGCUAAUACCGCAUAACAUUAUUAGAUAGCAUUGUCUGAUAAUCAAAGGAGAAAUCCGGUACAAGAUGGGCCCGCGUCCGAUUAGCUAGUUGGUGAGGUAAUAGCUCACCAAGGCGACGAUCGGUAGCCGAACUGAGAGGUUGAUCGGCCACAUUGGGACUGAGACACGGCCCAAACUCCUACGGGAGGCAGCAGUGGGGAAUAUUGCGCAAUGGGGGAAACCCUGACGCAGCAACGCCGCGUGAAGGAUGAAGGCUUUCGGGUUGUAAACUUCUUUGAUGGGGGAAGAAAAAAAUGACGGUACCCCAAAAACAAGCCACGGCUAACUACGUGCCAGCAGCCGCGGUAAUACGUAGGUGGCAAGCGUUAUCCGGAAUUACUGGGUGUAAAGGGCGUGUAGGCGGGGAUGUAAGUCAGAUGUGAAAUUUCGGAGCUCAACUCCGAAGCUGCAUCUGAAACUAUGUCUCUUGAGUACUGGAGAGGAAAGUGGAAUUCCUAGUGUAGCGGUGAAAUGCGUAGAUAUUAGGAGGAACACCAGUGGCGAAGGCGACUUUCUGGACAGUAACUGACGCUGAGGCGCGAAAGCGUGGGGAGCAAACAGGAUUAGAUACCCUGGUAGUCCACGCCCGUAACGAUGG